RNAcentral lists this ribosomal RNA (485 nucleotides) under Hanseniaspora opuntiae. RNAcentral's name for it is "eukaryotic LSU rRNA". It matches the Rfam family "Eukaryotic large subunit ribosomal RNA", at positions 74 to 560 of the family's 3401-position model. Lineage: Eukaryota; Fungi; Ascomycota; Saccharomycetes; Saccharomycodales; Saccharomycodaceae. The record is from RNAcentral.
AUCCUUAGUAACGGCGAGUGAAGCGGUAAAAGCUCAAAUUUGAAAUCUGGUACUUUCAGUGCCCGAGUUGUAAUUUGUAGAAUUUGUCUUUGAUUAGGUCCUUGUCUAUGUUCCUUGGAACAGGACGUCAUAGAGGGUGAGAAUCCCGUUUGGCGAGGAUACCUUUUCUCUGUAAGACUUUUUCGAAGAGUCGAGUUGUUUGGGAAUGCAGCUCAAAGUGGGUGGUAAAUUCCAUCUAAAGCUAAAUAUUGGCGAGAGACCGAUAGCGAACAAGUACAGUGAUGGAAAGAUGAAAAGAACUUUGAAAAGAGAGUGAAAAAGUACGUGAAAUUGUUGAAAGGGAAGGGCAUUUGAUCAGACAUGGUGUUUUUUGCAUGCACUCGCCUCUCGUGGGCUUGGGCCUCUCAAAAAUUUCACUGGGCCAACAUCAAUUCUGGCAGUAGGAUAAAUCAUUAAGAAUGUAGCUACCUCGGUAGUGUUAUAGC